This 1685-nucleotide long non-coding RNA is filed under the name Vigna radiata. RNAcentral's name for it is "long non-coding RNA (VRAD_LNC010890)". Lineage: Eukaryota; Viridiplantae; Streptophyta; Magnoliopsida; Fabales; Fabaceae. The record is from RNAcentral.
AAUGGGAGGCAUAGAUUGGAGCAACAGGCUCCAGAUUUUUGUGUUUGAUAACACAGACAUUAUGAAAUAGGGGUUGUGGUAAUGAAUAAAUAUAGUAUUAGUAUAGAAAAGGUGGUGGAGAGGAAGUGUUAAUAAAAGGAUGUUGGUAAAAAUUGGUACAGAAGAGUGAUGUGUUUGGAUGUCAUGAGUCGAUGCAAUAGAUUGAUGAAAACGGGACCACUAAUAGUAGUGAAUGGUGUUUAGUUGAAUUAUUAAUUAUCGGUGGGAAUAGGAUUAGACAGAUAAGUGGUGAUAAUUAGAUAUAAUUUGUUGAGAUCCGGGGGUGUAGUUGAAGUGAGUUUAAGGAAAUAUGAUAUUCCAGAAUGAAGGGAAUGCAGAUUGAUUAGGCUGGGUAUGUGAGUGAAAAUGUUGACGAGGGAAGUUAAAUGAAAGUUGGAAGAUGGGAAACAGGGGGUGCAGGUGUCGGGAUAAACAUGACACCCACUUGUUUAAGCCUCUUUUAGAGUAGUUGAUUGAGUUGUUUAGUUAAAGUCAGAAUUAUUAGACUGACAAUAACAACUCAAAAGCACGAGAGCAAGGGAAUCCCAUCCGUGCCACGCGCAUAUUCUUUGCCAUUAAACAAAACCCGAAUUGAUUAAGCAGAAAAUCAAGUUGAUCUGGCUUGCAGAAUAAACUUAAGAGCGAAUCUCUCUGUUUCUCUCUUUCCUCACUGGUGAAGGCACUUUCAUCCUUAUCCUUUAUUACCUUAGCACCAACACCACCUUUAUCUUUACUUUAAAUCCAGUUAUAAACUGUGGUAAACUUGACGAGGCAUCUUAUCUUAUUUUACUGAAAACAAAUAUGUCUAUUGUACCCAGCAUUAGCAUAAUCCCAACUUUCCCCCUCAGAAAUGGAAAAAUGACAAAAGACAUCUGCUACUGACUUUUGGCCUGAAAACGAUGGGAGGAUAUAAUAAUAAUAAUAACAAGAAGAAACUAAACAUCCAUCCCAAUCAGUGCCCCAUGGCUCCUGACACUGUUGACGAAUUCCCCAUGCACUUUCUAGCUUUCCGGUCAUGGUUCAUUGAAUCCACCCUCUCUCUCUCUCUCUCGUUUUGACAAGCACCCUUUGUAGGGGAGACACUUUCACCAUAUUAGGUAACUUUUCCCUACUAAGUUCUAACCACCACCCAAUCACAUUUAUCCAUCACAAACGGACGUAAAAAUAUGUAAAUCUGGAAUGGAUGUUGAGUGUAGGCGAUGUCAAGCGUGACGGCUACAGUCGCUCUAGGGAAAUAACGAAACGGUGAUUGGAUCCGGUGAAGAGGAUUGCACUGACAGGGACUAUAACCAACCAAAUUAUUAUUAUUAGCUUAAAUAUAUUUAUUUAUUUUUAUUGGAAAUUUUUAUUGAAUGAACAAGAGUGUGUGUUGCAUUUGAUGAAUGGAGAGGGAAUGGAAUGCGUGGUCCCAGUAAAGUGGUUAAGGGGUAGUGACACGCGUUAAGGUGCUUGAGUUGCCCCCAUGUGCGUCUCCUUGGUAUGCCCAAUCUGUCUUUUUCGUCUCAACUCUCUCCCCGUGCCUCUGCUUCAACUUUCUGUACUACUCAACUUCACCUUCUUAACCAAUUAACGCCUCACAACUCAGCUCACUUCUUUUUUAUCAUCUUUUCUUUCAUCAUCACAUCAGGACGAAACUAUUUUCUUUU